GGGGGGCUGGUCGGGUGGCCAAGGGGGCUCUAGUUACCCUAAAAGGAGAAACCCUCGGUUGCCGGGUUCAACUCCCGGGCUCCCCAC
RNAcentral lists this transfer RNA (87 nucleotides) under Candidatus Methanohalarchaeum thermophilum. Its description in RNAcentral is "tRNA-Pyl". Lineage: Archaea; Methanobacteriati; Methanobacteriota; Methanonatronarchaeia; Methanonatronarchaeales; Methanonatronarchaeaceae. The record is from RNAcentral.